CACUGAGGUUGCCUAAUACAGCUCAGCUGUUUUUCUCAGUCUUCCCUUUGAUUAUAAGCUAGCAAGAGAGAUUAUUUCGGUCAAGCACUGAGCUAUAUUCGGGAUCUGUGGCCUAUGACAUUAGAAAGGUCUGACCACUGAAGGACUACCUAUAUCAAAACAAGGGCGAUGAAGGAUCAAACACGGGGGCAUGGAAUGGGCAGGGGAAGGGAGAAGGAAGAGGAGCAAGAGGCAGAGGAGCGCAAAGAUGAAAAGGAGAAAGAAGAUGACGACGACGAUAAUGGUGAUGAUGUCAUCAUGAUCAGCAGCUACAUGAAGAUUUGAGUUCUAUUUUGUCCAGUAGCAAGGAAAGGUUUUCCUAAGUCUUCCAUGCUCCCAUAUGAAAAAAUAAAAGCUACUAGCCUGA
Cavia porcellus (domestic guinea pig) is the source of this 406-nucleotide long non-coding RNA. RefSeq lists it as uncharacterized. The record is from RefSeq and is a predicted model, not a curated record. The transcript has 3 exons. Lineage: Eukaryota; Metazoa; Chordata; Mammalia; Rodentia; Caviidae.